UGUCUGUCCUCCCUCUAGUUCUAGGCUCUGUUCGCAUCAAAUCGUCAAUCCCCGACGUAAAAAUAUCUUCCUCCACUGAAGGAUACUAACUGUGAGGUUCGUAGUAUGCUCUAAGUGAAACCUUAUUCAAUCUCAAAUUUGCGGUACUCAGUGGUACAAGGGAAGAUCGACGACGGGUGACAGCAAUGGAUGCUACUGGAUUGUUAGGUAGGUAGGGGCGGUAGACGCUGCAGUGGAGGACGCGUUGAAGUGAGUAUGCAUAGUUGGUGGUCGG
RNAcentral lists this small RNA (274 nucleotides) under Cryptococcus neoformans H99. Its description in RNAcentral is "Cryptococcus neoformans var. grubii H99 hypothetical RNA". Lineage: Eukaryota; Fungi; Basidiomycota; Tremellomycetes; Tremellales; Cryptococcaceae. The record is from RNAcentral.